Molecule: transfer RNA, 88 nt
Filed under: Crocodylus niloticus (Nile crocodile)
Lineage: Eukaryota; Metazoa; Chordata; Crocodylia; Crocodylidae
Description: partial tRNA-Glu
Source: RNAcentral
CAUUAUUUUCACUUGGACUCUAGACCAAGACCUGGGGCACGAAAAACCCCUGUUGUACUUUCAACUAUAAAAACUAACAUUAAACCAA